RNAcentral lists this ribosomal RNA (338 nucleotides) under Diploschistes scruposus. RNAcentral's name for it is "SSU rRNA". It matches the Rfam family "Eukaryotic small subunit ribosomal RNA", at positions 1329 to 1688 of the family's 1831-position model. Lineage: Eukaryota; Fungi; Ascomycota; Lecanoromycetes; Ostropales; Graphidaceae. The record is from RNAcentral.
UAAAGAAAGAGACCUUAACCUGCUAAAUAGCCCGGCCAGCCUUGGGUGGUCGCCGGCUUCUUAGAGGGACUAUCGGCUCAAGCCGAUGGAAGUUUGAGGCAAUAACAGGUCUGUGAUGCCCUUAGAUGUUCUGGGCCGCACGCGCGCUACACUGACAGAGCCAACGAGUAAAUCAUCCUUGGCCGAGAGGCCUGGGCAAUCUUGUUAAACUCCGUCGUGCUGGGGAUAGAGCAUUGCAUUUAUGGCUCUUCAACGAGGAAUGCCUAGUAAGCGCAAAUCAUCAGUUUGCUUUGAUUACUUCCCUGCCCUUUGUACACCCCGCCCGUCCCUCCAACCAA